Molecule: long non-coding RNA, 3526 nt
Filed under: Dicentrarchus labrax (European seabass)
Lineage: Eukaryota; Metazoa; Chordata; Actinopteri; Moronidae
Description: lncRNA (ENSDLAG00005032710.1)
Source: RNAcentral
AUGUAUAUUUGUUUUUUCAGGAAAAAGAGUGAUGAUCCUCUACACCCUGACUAUGUGCCGAGUUUAUUCAGCUUCACCUCUACUGCUGAUCGGACUCGGGCUGUCAACCACCUGGAGAGAUAUGUGCGAACUCAAAACGUUUCUGGCAAAAGACAUGAUGGGCUAACUGCAACAGACAGAAGUACUGCGUCAGAGCAAGAAUUACAGGUACAAACUGAAACUGGAGUCCAAGGCACUGAGGUCCAGACAGAGGAGACACACAAUGACAUUGCCUCAUUAUAUAAACAAAUUGAAUCUUUAAACAUCGAAUGUCAAUCACUGAGAGAUAAAAUUCAUGGACUAGAAAGUGAGUUGAAGCAUCGUACCCUUGACCCUUCACAAUUUGAUGACAGCAAAAUGAAAUUUUUCACAGGACUUCCCAAUUUACAGACUUUCAUGUUAUUGUUUAGCUUUGUGUUGUCAGUUUUUCCUGCUACUCCAAAGCAGUCCCUCAAGCCUGCUCAGGAACUACUCUUACACUGAUGAAGCUGCGCCUCAAUCUGUCAGAGGAAUUUUUAGGUUACCUCUUUGGGAUUCACCAGUCAACAGUAUCCAGAGUCUUUCACCGUUGGAUACAUGUUAUGGCAAGCAGGCUUCAUCCUCUGAUAUUGUGGCCAGAAAGAGAAGACCUUAGACGCAGCUUACCAAUGUGUUUUCGUACAUUUUUAAGAACUGUGUAAGCAUAAUCGACUGCUUUGAAGUGUUCAUAGAGCGUCCUUCUGACUUAAAAGCUCGAGCUCAAACUUGGAGCAACUACAAACAACACAACACUAUAAAAUUUCUCAUUUCAAUCACCCCACAAGGAAGCAUCUCUUUCUGUCCAAGGCCUGGGGUGGACGUGUUACAGACAAACACCUGACAGAACACAGUGGGUUCCUUGACAAGCUCCUACCAGGGGACUUGGUACUGGCUGACCGAGGUUUCACAAUUGAGGAUAGUGUUGGCCUAUUUUGGCAGAAUUAAUAACGCCUCCAUUCACACGAGGAAGAAACAGCUUAGCCGAAAAGAAAUUGAAUCGGCUCGUGAAAUUUCUCGUGUGAGAAUCCACGUCGAAAGAGUGAUUGGAAUGUUGAGGCAGAAAUACACAAUUCUGGGCUCAACGCUGCCUGUAAGUCUCAUUAGAGUGGAGCAAAAUGGCAAAGUGGAGGACAGCCUUAUAGAUAAGAUUGUGUUAACAUGCUGUGCUUUAUGCAAUAUGUGUGAGUCCAUAGUGCCUUCAGAUUGAGGUGAACAUUAGUUCAAACCUUUUGUCUUAAUAGUUGGUAUCAAUAUGUAUUGGAUGAUAAGUGUAAAUAUUAAUUUUAAAACUUUUGCGUGAUUUUCAUUGAUAAGCCCGUAAAGGGUUACAUUUUGUAAAUAUUUACUCUGUGAUGUAUCUGUUAUGUAUUUACUCUAAGUUAUUUCACAGUAACAUAUGAAGUACGUUUAUAUUCAUGUUUAUGUGUUAUCAUAUUUAGUAUGUAUAUAUGUUAUUGUUUAGUAUACCUAUAUACUUUUAUACUGUUGUUGUUUUGUAUACCUAUAAAAGGAGAAUAGGCUUUUAAAGUUUAUUAUUUAUUUAUUGAAAAUAAUUGUAAUAGUUUUGACACAACUGUCAGGUCAGUCUAGAUAUGCUAAUAUGUCACUUUCCAACCUUAGACAUGUAAACAGUGUGUGGAAAUAACCCCAGACUUACAGUCUAAAUAGUUACAUUUUAUAUACAAUGAUAGGACUAAUAAGAAAAAGAUUACGCCAAAAAUGCUGUAAAAACUUUGGUUUUGAAUAAUAAUGUAACAUAUUUACAAAUGUGAAAUGUGUCACCAACUGCUCCUUUGAAUGGGAGGCGGAAACAGUUCACAAGCAUCAGUCAGUAAUUUGGGGCUUUUCAAAAUGUUCAGUAGUUCCCCCAUCAUAAAAUAACUUUAUAUAUCAUCUUUUCUCUGUAGGCAAAGUGUCACUUACGUAUAAAUAUGUACAAGUUAAGUGCAAGCUGUAACAUCAUCCCUAAGGUGAAGGGCUUAACACAAUAACAGUCCUACAGAUGAGAUGUUGCACCAGGAUUCAGUACUGCAUUUUUGGUGAACCAUUUUCCCAAUAAUUCUGGCAGCACUCCAUACUUGAAAACGUUGUGGCCUUCAUAACAUGUCUUUCAAAAUUUACAUCUGGGGUUAUUCUUUCAAUAUACAAUUCUGAAGGCGUCCACACACAAAAGUCACAGUACAGAGAUUUUGUGACAUGAAUCUGGCACUGCACUUGAAAGUAGUAGUUGUGCUGUCUGUUGUGUCAGCGUCACAUCUGAGGAUGAAGAUGUGACCAAGGGAAAGUCUUUUCUUUUGACAGUUCAAGCAGUGUCUUGUCUUUUGCCAAGUAGGGACAUUUGAUUUCCAGGCAGCCUGAGCCACAACAGUCACAAGACACCUUCCCAUCCGGGGAAGCGCCUAGGUGAGGGUAAUGUGAGGAAAUAUUGAGUCCAGUGGUGGUCACAUCAAAAUUGACAUGUCUUGAUGACAUGGUUUCAGUGUAUUUCUCCUUUGCCUUGUUUUCCUGAUGAAUGCCCCACCUGAAAAUAUUUGAGGAAAACAUGUUACUUUAAAUUAGGGCAUACAUAUACCAUGUCCACAAUUACUUUUCAUCAGGUUUUGUAAGAGAUUUUAUCAUUCACUAGUUCUAUCCUUCUGAGAAGAGAACAACUUUGAAAUUUCAUAAAUUUACUAUGUUGUUAAAGCAAUAAAUAAUACCUUGUUGCUGCAGUGGUAAACUUUGCUGAUUCUGGGUAGCAUACAGCUUUCACAAGUGAUUUUGGGGCUGAUUUUCAUUGCUUUUGAUAACUGCACCAAACUUGGAAGCUGUUACUCUGCCACAUCUGUAGGUAUACCACAUCCUUGAUGAAGCCUGUCUCUUUGUCUCCUGUUCAACAAGCUUACAUUGCUCAUCUGUCAUUUUCAAUUCUUCAAACACCUUGUCACAUUUUUCAAUAAGUUCAUUGUAUGUCAAAGAAGCAUUCUCAGCAUCAUAAAGUUGUCCCAGUGGUGUAGGAUAGCCAUCUCUCAGAGCCAUUGGGACAAAAUCUUUGGAGUGGUUUGGAGCUACAGAGAGCACAGCAGCUCUUGGGUUUGCAUACUUCAGCUUAUUCAGAAAGCCUGCAACUUCAUCUCCUGUAGGUUUGGACGUAGCAUCACAGGGCCCUGACUCCUUGAUGUAGUUUCAUUGACCACACUCAUGUCAACUUGACCUAAAACCUUUCUACUCUGCAUUCUGGGACAUGUCAUAUCUAUAGAGGACGUUCGAGCAGGCUUUUUUUUUUGUGUUGGCUGAAGCCACUGACAUGGCAGUGAAGUACACGGCGUGUCAUCACGCAGCCUCACACCAGACAUUACUGCAAACAUCAACGCUGCUGCAUGUGAACAUGUCUCUCCAAGUCCUGCCAUGCAUGUACAAUGUGCUGUCACAACUGUCCCUGUCUUUCUGCAGCUAUCCAAGUUUUCAAGGGUGGCUCAUUCAUUCUCUG